This 253-nucleotide ribosomal RNA is filed under the name uncultured bacterium. RNAcentral describes it as "partial 16S ribosomal RNA". It matches the Rfam family "Bacterial small subunit ribosomal RNA", at positions 524 to 776 of the family's 1533-position model. The record is from RNAcentral.
UACGUAGGGUGCGAGCGUUGUCCGGAUUUAUUGGGCGUAAAGGGCUCGUAGGCGGCCUGUCGCGUCGGGAGUGAAGGCCCACUGCUUAACGGUGGGUCUGCUUCCGGUACGGGCGGGCUGGAGUAUGGCAGGGGAGACUGGAAUUCCUGGUGUAGCGGUGGAAUGCGCAGAUAUCAGGAGGAACACCGAUGGCGAAGGCAGGUCUCUGGGCCACUACUGACGCUGAGAAGCGAAAGCAUGGGGAGCGAACAGG